GCAUCAGUGUUCGUUCAGUAUUCGAGGAGGGGGGGUCAAUGGAGAAUUUACUUCUCCUCAGUACUGUCUGUGAAAACAUUUUUUUGGAGGAGCAAAGGAAGCCAAUAAAUAUCAAGAGGGUAUGUGCUGUAAAGAACUGUAUUCCUGAUUUAUAUGGGGAAUCCUUCCACAGGAUUCCUACAAGGCUGAAGGAAAGAUGGAUCAAAGUAAUAUAUUGCCAAGAAAUUGUGUAACAAAGUUGAAGGCCUCAUAUCUGAAACCACAACCAGUAGCUGGAUUAAUCUUAAAACCGGGGAUCACUGUAUUCCCCAAGCAAGGAGCUUGUGAAAAGUAUUCACCAUUAUGAAGAAGUUUUUGUCAGGUUACACGGUGAAAAUAUAUGUAGGCAACCAGAUCCUAUGGGGAGAACUACAGAGGCCAUUCUGAAGAUAGACCAGAACUGGCCAAAACUCGUAGUGGACCUUUUUGUUAAAAUACGCUUUUUUCAACGUUUAAGAGUUUUGAACUCUCAGCUCAAGGAAAAACACAAAACCAAUUGUGUAAGAAAUUUGAAGCAAAAAGCUGAGUUUAUUUUUUGAAUAAAUUUGUCUAAAU
Molecule: long non-coding RNA, 594 nt
Organism: Eurytemora carolleeae
Lineage: Eukaryota; Metazoa; Arthropoda; Copepoda; Calanoida; Temoridae
Exons: 2
Source: RefSeq, a predicted model, not a curated record